ACGUUGAAACACUGAUUCUCGUACGAUCACCGAAGUUAAGCAACGUCGAGCCUGGUCGGUAUCUAGAUGGGUGAACGCUUUGGAAUACCAGAUGCU
RNAcentral lists this ribosomal RNA (96 nucleotides) under Acanthosepion pharaonis. The record is from RNAcentral. Lineage: Eukaryota; Metazoa; Mollusca; Cephalopoda; Sepiida; Sepiidae.